GCCAGGUGUGGUGGUGCACACCUGUAAUCCCAGCUACUCAGGAGGCUGAGGCAGGAGAAUUGCUUGAACCUAGGAGACGGAGGUUCUAGUGAGCUGAGAUCGCACCACUGCACUCCAGCCUGGGCAACAGAGCAAGACUCUGCCUCAA
Unclassified non-coding RNA from Papio anubis (olive baboon), 148 nucleotides. It matches the Rfam family "Metazoan signal recognition particle RNA". Rfam says of the family: The signal recognition particle (SRP) is a universally conserved ribonucleoprotein. Lineage: Eukaryota; Metazoa; Chordata; Mammalia; Primates; Cercopithecidae. The record is from Ensembl.